Lolium rigidum is the source of this 1262-nucleotide long non-coding RNA. RefSeq lists it as uncharacterized. Lineage: Eukaryota; Viridiplantae; Streptophyta; Magnoliopsida; Poales; Poaceae. The record is from RefSeq and is a predicted model, not a curated record. The transcript has 2 exons.
AAACAGUCUUUUAUUAAGUCCUACUUACGCAUCACAAGUGACCUCAAUAUGAGCCAGGAUGGCUGCACAGUCCAUAUCAGAAGGUGACGGCAAACUGGUAAGAACAACUACAGUAUACAGCUUAACUGAGACAACAUCUUCUCUAGAAAAUAAUAGCAUCAUUAGAUUACAUGUACAUAAAAAAUUAUGCAGUUAGCAUACUCAAAUUUCUAAUACUUCUUUGAAGAAAGAAGAUAAAACUAAGGAGAUUACCAGACAAAUGCAGUUACUAUUAUGAAGUUUUCUACUAAACAACCCCAUGGCAAAGCAGUUGCACUACCUGCCAUCUUUAUCAGAAUUUAGGUGUCAAAAUCAAUUUCCUUGCAACUCAAAUAUACUCAUGGGGAUAUUUCUUAAUCUUCGGUGGAUGAGAAUUGGUUUUUGCUUCCCUGGGUUGCAAUAUCAUUCUUGUUUUUAUUCCCGGAUACCACUGGCAAAGAUGGUACCAAGCUCAGGGUCAAAAUUUCUUUUAUCGGGGUAAAAAGAUGGUACAAAGCUCAUCAAAGGCACCAAGGUUCAUAAGGGUGAAAUUGUUGAACUUGAUAGUACUACCAUGGCUUCUCGAACAGUGAAAGGUGGAGCAGCAGCUCCAUAGCUGCUCCAGCGCAAUGUGACACCUCUGGCAUGGCUUGUGGCGGUGACAUGGUGAAGGAAAGUGACAAGGAUGGUCGUGCUAGCUGUGAUGGCGCGGUCAUUGUCAAGUUCAGUAGGUAUGGUUUGGACUGCAGUGCAAUUGCACGACGACAUGGUUUGACAACUGCACAAUUCAGAUUUCCUUUUCCUUUUCCUCUUGUGGACCAAAAUUAUAGUCUGGCUCAUCUGGGAAUUGGUCGUCCGCCUGGUCAGAUGGAUUUCAAAGCGUUUCUGAUUCAGAAGUUCAAUAAGACUGACCAUCAAUGGAUCCACUGUCAAUGGCGGCAACAUGAAGGGUGAGUGGCCGGCAAAGUGAAGGAAGAUUGUCAUUGAGGUUGCAAAGCGGUAGUGCCCCAUUUGCUGUUGCAUGCUCGAGACUGACCUCAAGGUGAUGUCAGGUGACUACACACAUUUUGUGCUUUUCCUUCUCGCUGAUGUGGUGGAAUUUCUUUUACUUCUGCUCUGUGGUGCUAAAACCAUGCGGUUUUCAUUUUCCGUUUAAUUCUUUGGUGGAAAGUGGAAACUCGUGCAAUUUUUACAGAUAAUGCAAAUACUCAAUUAUAUCGUGUAAUGUUCAUGUGUAUUUUAUA